AUCCAGGCUUAAGGAUGAUGUUGCAAGCCGCACAUGCAUCCGGCCUCUAGGAGUCAUCCACACGAGCCCACGAAUCUCGAUCAGAAGUCCUGCUUCAGAAAAUCAGCACAGUAUGCUAGUACUGCGCUGAUCCUUCUUUGAUGGUUGAUCAAGUGCCUCCUUCUUCUUGAUUUGGACUCUUCCAAAGAUGAAAAGUAAAAGGAGGAGUUUCAAAUCUGAGACACUCUCAGAAAACUCAAGAUG
Molecule: long non-coding RNA, 243 nt
Filed under: Elaeis guineensis (African oil palm)
Lineage: Eukaryota; Viridiplantae; Streptophyta; Magnoliopsida; Arecales; Arecaceae
Description: long non-coding RNA (EGUI_LNC043055)
Source: RNAcentral